AAAGAUUUAUCGCCUUUAGAGCGGCCCGCGUCUGAUUAGCUAGUUGGUAGUGUAAUGGACUACCAAGGCGACGAUCAGUAGCUGGUCUGAGAGGAUGAUCAGCCACAUUGGGACUGAGACACGGCCCAAACUCCUACGGGAGGCAGCAGUGGGGAAUCUUGCGCAAUGGGCGAAAGCCUGACGCAGCCAUGCCGCGUGAAUGAUGAAGGUCUUAGGAUUGUAAAAUUCUUUCACCGGGGACGAUAAUGACGGUACCCGGAGAAGAAGCCCCGGCUAACUUCGUGCCAGCAGCCGCGGUAAUACGAAGGGGGCUAGCGUUGCUCGGAAUUACUGGGCGUAAAGGGAGCGUAGGCGGACAUUUAAGUCAGGGGUGAAAUCCCGGGGCUCAACCUCGGAAUUGCCUUUGAUACUGGGUGUCUUGAGUAUGAGAGAGGUGUGUGGAACUCCGAGUGUAGAGGUGAAAUUCGUAGAUAUUCGGAAGAACACCAGUGGCGAAGGCGACACACUGGCUCAUUACUGACGCUGAGGCUCGAAAGCGUGGGGAGCAAACAGGAUUAGAUACCCUGGUAGUCCACGCCGUAAACGAUGAUUGCU
This 594-nucleotide ribosomal RNA is filed under the name Caulobacteraceae bacterium. RNAcentral's name for it is "bacterial SSU rRNA". It matches the Rfam family "Bacterial small subunit ribosomal RNA", at positions 202 to 817 of the family's 1533-position model. The record is from RNAcentral. Lineage: Bacteria; Pseudomonadati; Pseudomonadota; Alphaproteobacteria; Caulobacterales; Caulobacteraceae.